Molecule: ribosomal RNA, 460 nt
Filed under: uncultured bacterium
Lineage: Bacteria
Description: bacterial SSU rRNA
Rfam family: Bacterial small subunit ribosomal RNA
Source: RNAcentral
GGAAUUCGAUUCCUACGGGAGGCAGCAGUAGGGAAUCUUCCGCAAUGGGCGAAAGCCUGACGGAGCAACACCGCGUGAGUGAUGAAGGUCUUCGGGUCGUAAAACUCUGUUAUUAGGGAAGAACAAAUGUGUAAGUAACUAUGCACGUCUUGACGGUACCUAAUCAGAAAGCCACGGCUAACUACGUGCCAGCAGCCGCGGUAAUACGUAGGUGGCAAGCGUUAUCCGGAAUUAUUGGGCGUAAAGCGCGCGUAGGCGGUUUUUUAAGUCUGAUGUGAAAGCCCACGGCUCAACCGUGGAGGGUCAUUGGAAACUGGAAAACUUGAGUGCAGAAGAGGAAAGUGGAAUUCCAUGUGUAGCGGUGAAAUGCGCAGAGAUAUGGAGGAACGCCAGUGGCGAAGGCGACUUUCUGGUCUGUAACUGACGCUGAUGUGCGAAAGCGUGGGGGAUCAAACAGGAA